This is a long non-coding RNA of Alligator mississippiensis (American alligator), 1684 nucleotides long. RefSeq lists it as uncharacterized. NCBI's taxonomy places the organism in Eukaryota, Metazoa, Chordata, Crocodylia, Alligatoridae. The transcript is spliced from 3 exons. The record is from RefSeq and is a predicted model, not a curated record.
UUGACAAAUAGAGGCAGCUAGUGGAUGACGAGCACAAUUGGCAGCAAAGACAAGGUCCUGCAUCCACAGAGCCUGCCUGGUCCAAAGGAACACGGGGCCUGUGGAGGCAGAUCCAGCAGCAGGAAAGAGAGGAGCCAGGCACACGUGUGUCCCGCAUGUACGUGUGCCCCCUUAACCAACUGACUGACCAGAGGCGGCGGCGGCGGCAGCAGCAGCAGCAGCAGAGGAAUCGGCAGCGGGGGCAGCAACAGCUGAUCCCCCAAAGGUAAGUGGGGCGGAGGGACACGGCGCAGCUGAGCUGGAUCCGGAGGGGAAGCCCCCCGGGUCCCAUAUAGCUGAGCCGGUAAGGAGCCGCACUCCCGAGCCGCGCAGCGUGAACAGAGCGUGCAAACAGGGAGGGCUAGGGAGGGGACUGUCCCCCCAGGCCAGGGAGCACCCCCGGGGCUAAUCUUUGGGGAGCAGGCUCCAGCGGCAGCGGAUCCCCCCAGCAGGGGAGCGUAGGAGGCGGAACUGCCGACAGGCACUUCCAGGUAGACCGGGGCGCCUGAUUGGCCGUUGGAGCAGGGGCGGGUAAUUCAAACCGCGGGCUUUAAAGCCAUGGGGUGACGUAGUUCCCAGAACUCGGGAACCAGCAGAGGGAAAGAGAGGAGCCAGGCACAUGUGUGUCCCGCACGCAUGUGUUCCCCCUUAACCAACUGACUGACCAGAGGCGGUGGCGGCGGCAGCAGCAGCAGCAGCAGCAGAGGAAUCGGCAGCGGGGGCAGCAACAGCUGAUCCCCCGAAGGUAAGUGGGGCAGAGGGACCCGGCGCAGCUGAGCCGGAUCCGGAGGGGAAGCCCCCCGGGUCCCAUAUAGCUGAGCUGGUAGGGAGCCGCGCUCCCAAGCCGUGCAGCGCGAACAGAGCACGUAAACAGGCACGCUCUGUGAGAGCGCGCCGGCAUUUGCGCAGGCGUUCGUGCCGGCAGGUGGGCCGGGAGGGCCAGGAGUGAGACUCCUGUAGGGGUAGGGAGUAGACACCACACAGGUCUACAAACAGCAGGUCAGAAUGGUGUCUACGAGGAGUGCUGCUAGGGCCUCUGCCCAGGGGGACAUGGCUAACUGGGGCUGGUCUGAGGUCUCCACCCAGACUGAGCCCAUGGGGGAGCUGAUGUCCCCCUACCUCCUGGCCUGUGGGGGAUCCCCAGCAGGGCCGGGGGGGACAGAGAUUGGGGGCCCCCACACCUGUCCGGCAGGUGCCUGUCUUAGGGCUCUGGAGGCGCAGGUGAGGGAGCUCCGGGAGGAGGUUAGCAGGCUGAGGGGGAUCAGGGAGGUGGAGGAUGAAAUUGACAGAUAUUUCCUUUCCCUGCAGGACCAGGCACCGAAGGAAGAAGCAGCCUGGGGAAUGCCCUCCACAGCAGAGUGGCAGACGGUCACAGCCAGGACCAGAGCAGCUCGCAGAGAAUUGGUACCAGCUUCUCCAGUUCGACUGGAGAACAGAUCAAGAGACCCAAGAGGACCCAGAGGAGGAGGUGAAGAGUGCUCGUCAUAGGCGACUCCAUCCUGAGAGGUAUGGAAGGGCCCAUCUGUCGCCAGGACCCCUCAGCAUGAGAGGUAUGCUGCCUCCCUGGAGCAAAGAUUCGGGAUGUGACGGAGGUAAACCAGGCCAGGAUCAAGCCCACCGAUUACUACUCCAUGGUCCUAGUCCA